UCAGAUAUUAGAAGCGCGUGGCAGUCCA
This 28-nucleotide small RNA is filed under the name Bombyx mori (domestic silkworm). RNAcentral describes it as "ovarian small RNA-25635". The record is from RNAcentral. Lineage: Eukaryota; Metazoa; Arthropoda; Insecta; Lepidoptera; Bombycidae.